AGUAUAAUUCUUGAAGGGUUAAUUUACAAAUGGAUGCCUUAGGGUUGGGGUAGAGAUACCACAAAGGAUAGUGAAGUAACCUGUCACUUCCUAGCAGCCAUUUCCUUACCACAAGCACAUCUGAAGGAGAUCAAAAUCAGAAGCAAAACAUCCUGUACGGUCUGUGCUUUGUUUGAAUCAGUGGUUAAAGAUGUAGCUACUUACAGGGAAGAAGCAAGAUGAAUUAGUAUAUUGGUCUAACUCUUCAUCCUUCGCAGCUCCUGUUAAAGGCUCACCAUUAGCUGAGGCCAUUUAGAAGUCAGAGGACCCAGAAGACAUAAUGGACGUUAAAAAAGCUAAGUUUAUAUAGACUCUUGGACAACAUUUCCAGGUUGCUGCUGGUCGAGCACCCUUUCACAGUUCAAGGAGAAAGGGCUUAAGACCCUGAAAUAAAAAAAAAAAUUUAUAGGAAAAUUUCCCCAAAAGGUAAGCACAAUAAAAAUCAAAAGGAGGUACGGGCUGAAGAAUGACUUCCUGCAAUGUGUAAUUUCAAGAAUUAGAGUUUGUC
This 547-nucleotide long non-coding RNA is filed under the name Pan troglodytes (chimpanzee). RNAcentral describes it as "lincRNA". Lineage: Eukaryota; Metazoa; Chordata; Mammalia; Primates; Hominidae. The record is from RNAcentral.